This 494-nucleotide ribosomal RNA is filed under the name uncultured bacterium. RNAcentral's name for it is "partial 16S ribosomal RNA". It matches the Rfam family "Bacterial small subunit ribosomal RNA", at positions 28 to 507 of the family's 1533-position model. The record is from RNAcentral.
GACGAACGCUGGCGGCGUGCUUAACACAUGCAAGUCGAACGGAAAGGCCUGCUUUCCCUUGUGGAUUGCGGGUACUCGAGUGGCGAACGGGUGAGUAACACGUGAGUGAUCUGCCCCCAACUUGGGUAUAAGCCUGGGAAACUGGGUCUAAUUCCCGAUAGGACUGCAGGGUGGUGCCUGUGGUGGAAAACGAUUUUCUAGUGGUUGGGGAUGAGCUCGCGGCCUAUCUGCUUGUUGGUGGGGUAAUGGCCUACCAAGGCGGCGACGGGUAGCCGGCCUGGGAGGGUGGACGGCCACAUUGGGACUGAGAUACGGCCCAGACUCCUACGGGAGGCAGCAGUGGGGAAUAUUGGACAAUGGGCGGAAGCCUGAUGCAGCGACGCCGCGUGGGGGAUGACGGCCUUCGGGUUGUAAACUCCUUUCGACCGCGAGGAAGCCACCUGGUUGGAAGGGUGGUGACGGUAGUGGUAGAAGAAGCACCGGCUAACUACGUG